GCCACUGUAGCUCAGGGGUAGAGCACUCGAUUCGUAAUCGAGCGGUCGUCAGUUCAAAUCUGACCAGUGGCU
RNAcentral lists this transfer RNA (72 nucleotides) under Gemmatimonadota bacterium. RNAcentral describes it as "Gemmatimonadetes bacterium (activated sludge metagenome) tRNA-Thr". It matches the Rfam family "tRNA". Rfam says of the family: Transfer RNA (tRNA) molecules are approximately 80 nucleotides in length. Their secondary structure includes four short double-helical elements and three loops (D, anti-codon, and T loops). Further hydrogen bonds mediate the characteristic L-shaped molecular structure. tRNAs have two regions of fundamental functional importance: the anti-codon, which is responsible for specific mRNA codon recognition, and the 3' end, to which the tRNAs corresponding amino acid is attached (by aminoacyl-tRNA synthetases). tRNAs cope with the degeneracy of the genetic code in two manners: having more than one tRNA (with a specific anti-codon) for a particular amino acid; and 'wobble' base-pairing, i.e. permitting non-standard base-pairing at the 3rd anti-codon position. The record is from RNAcentral. Lineage: Bacteria; Pseudomonadati; Gemmatimonadota. RNAcentral also lists the same sequence under 2 other names.